GAUGAAUGCUGGCGGCGUGCCUAACACAUGCAAGUCGAGCGGCAGCGAGUUUUACACUGAAUUCUGGAAGCUUCUGAGUAGUACAGAAGAUUUAUUCAAGAGUUUUGUGUAAAAUGUCGGCGAGCGGCGGACGGCUGAGUAACGCGUAGGAAUUUGCCCCAAAGUGAGGAAUAACUGCCCGAAAGGGUAGCUAAUGCCGCAUAUGGUCUUCGGAUUAAAGCCUUCGGGCGCUUUGGGAGAAGCCUGCGUUGGAUUAGGUAGUUGGUAGGGUAAUGGCCUACCAAGCCGACGAUCCAUAGCUGGUCUGAGAGGAUGAUCAGCCAGACUGGAACUGAGACACGGUCCCGACUCCUACGGGAGGCAGCAGUGAGGAAUCUUCCACAAUGGGCGAAAGCCUGAUGGAGCAACGCCGCGUGAAGGAUGAAGGCCUUCGGGUUGUAAACUUCUUUUAUGAGUGAAGAAUAUGACGGUAACUCAUGAAUAAGCACCGGCUAACUACGUG
RNAcentral lists this ribosomal RNA (502 nucleotides) under uncultured bacterium. RNAcentral's name for it is "partial 16S ribosomal RNA". It matches the Rfam family "Bacterial small subunit ribosomal RNA", at positions 28 to 507 of the family's 1533-position model. The record is from RNAcentral.